RNAcentral lists this ribosomal RNA (464 nucleotides) under uncultured bacterium. Its description in RNAcentral is "partial 16S ribosomal RNA". It matches the Rfam family "Bacterial small subunit ribosomal RNA", at positions 29 to 507 of the family's 1533-position model. The record is from RNAcentral.
AUGAACGCUGGCGGCGUGCUUAACACAUGCCAGUCGAACGGAAAGGCUCCUGCUUGCAGGGGUACUCGAGUGGCGAACGGGUGAGUAACACGUGGGUGAUCUGCCCUGCACUUCGGGAUAAGCCUGGGAAACUGGGUCUAAUACCGGAUAGGACCACAUUUUGGAUGGUGUGGUGGAAAGUUUUUCGGUGUGGGAUGAGCUCGCGGCCUAUCAGCUUGUUGGUGGGGUAAUGGCCUACCAAGGCGUCGACGGGUAGCCGGCCUGAGAGGGUGUACGGCCACAUUGGGACUGAGAUACGGCCCAGACUCCUACGGGAGGCAGCAGUGGGGAAUAUUGCACAAUGGGCGCAAGCCUGAUGCAGCGACGCCGCGUGGGGGAUGACGGCCUUCGGGUUGUAAACUCCUUUCGCUAGGGACGAAGCGCAAGUGACGGUACCUGGAGAAGAAGCACCGGCUAACUACGUG